GAUGAACGCUGGCGGCGUGCCUAAUACAUGCAAGUCGAACGAGGUGCUUUUUGUAGCAAUACGAAAGUAUCCUAGUGGCGAACGGGUGAGUAACGCGUUGGUGACCUACCCCAAAGUGUGGGAUAACAGUUCGAAAGAACUGCUAAUACCGCAUGUGGUUAUCGGGUUUAGAAACUGAUAACUAAAGGAGCAAUUCGCUUUGGGAGGGACCUGCGUCCCAUCAGCUAGUUGGUGAGGUAACGGCUCACCAAGGCUACGACGGGUAGGGGACCUGAGAGGGUGGCCCCCCACAAUGGAACUGAAACACGGUCCAUACACCUACGGGUGGCAGCAGUAGGGAAUAUUGCACAAUGGGCGAAAGACCUGAUGCAGCAACGCCGCGUGUGCGAUGAAGGCCUCGGUCGUAA
RNAcentral lists this ribosomal RNA (407 nucleotides) under uncultured bacterium. RNAcentral describes it as "bacterial SSU rRNA". It matches the Rfam family "Bacterial small subunit ribosomal RNA", at positions 28 to 428 of the family's 1533-position model. The record is from RNAcentral.